CCUGCGUUCAAAAUUGCAUGGCGGCCGCCUCCACCUAAUUUUGUGCCGCCCCCGGCCAGAGCGAUUGAUUUCGCUCAACACAGCGUAAAGCUCCAGCUGUGUUGAUUGAGUGUAUGAUGUCCCUCUGCUGCAGCAACGUAUUUUAACUGCAGUUGCAGCGUUGCGCCACUAUAGAGGCGCUAUAUCAACAGCAGUGCACCGGAAAGACCUGAAGCCUCUACCGAAGAAGAAACGGAUCGAAUCAUGUUUUUUCAAGUUUUUUUCCCGCUAGUUGGUGCUAUCGGCGUCCUGAUUUUCCCUGGCGGAUGGUACAAACAGGUAAAUACUGCUUGUCUUUUUUGCAUCCAAGCAUGACGUGUUUAUUUAAAAAAAAGUUUCCUCCGUUUUUUAGCGUUGCAGAUAUGACAGGCAAAAUCAGCCAGUACUUUAAAAAGCGACCUCGCAAGGAGGAAAGUCAAGAGUCCAGGUGAAACACAGCAGAGAAAAAACGUAAUAGGCAGUUAAAAUGCUAUAAUUCAUAGUGGUGACAACGUGGAAAUUUGUGUCAGGUCUGAAAGUACUUCACAAGGGACUGGUGAUCGCGAGGGUCAGAAUGCAGGACAGGACGAGUCGGCGAGGCGAGGGUAAUUAAUUAAUUAGUUUCCAAUUAGGAGCAUAACAACGCAAAGCCAACGUGUACGUGGUUUUUAUUCCUCUUUCCAGAUUUUCUCAAAAACACAGAGCCAGUGGCUUUGACAAGCAAUGGCUCAAUCAAUUUACCUGGCUCAGGCAUACUGAGGAAGGCAUGCACUGCUAUUUAUGCCAAAAGCACUGUGCCCCAACACAGCAGUCAAUUGCUGCCUCCUUAGUGAGACAGCCAUCAACCAACUACAGGCUGGACACAUUAAAAAGACAUGAGGUGAUAGCCGUUCACAAAGCAGCAGAAGAGAAGGAGAAAUAUAUUAAAGAUGGUAGUACCUAAAAACACUCAACUAAUAAAUAAUAACUAAUAAUUAAUAAAAAAUAAAUAAAACUAAAAGAACAUAGUUUAGAUAGUUUAAGAAAUAAUUAGUUUUUUUUUAUAGGGAGGACACUGCAGCGUAUACAUAUAUAUAAUAUAUGAUUGAAAACACUAUCACUCUUCAUGUCUGUAUCAGAAUAAAAACAAAAAUACUUAAUGCAUGAUGAAUUGUUUUGUUUAAGGUGAAGACACCUCUGUGGAACAGACUGAAGGAGAGGCACUUGGAUGUCUGUUGUAAGGUGGCUGUUGAUGGACCAGACCAGGAGGCCUUGGACUACAAGGAGUGCAUGAGGAGGUUCUACAGAAUGAAAAAGAGGAGGCUGAAAUGUUCUGUCUGGUUGCGAGAUGUGUGGAUGAAGUGUACUUUCAAUUUAAAGUUGCCAGCUGAUUUGUGUAUGUAUAUAGUUUUAAUAAAUGAAUGCUUUAACAUGAUAAUGGUCACACUCUUUUUUGAACUCUUAACUUAAAGUAUGUUGCCUGUAAAAGAAAGUGAGACAGUUGAAUUUACAAAUAUAUGCACGUCAUGGCGCAUGGUCAGGAUGGUGCCACCUCUGCCUCAAUUUGAGCCAGGAAAAACCCUGCUUUAAGAUG
RNAcentral lists this long non-coding RNA (1591 nucleotides) under Xyrichtys novacula (pearly razorfish). Lineage: Eukaryota; Metazoa; Chordata; Actinopteri; Labriformes; Labridae. The record is from RNAcentral.